ACUGCAAGAAUGAUCUUCUGUUUUACUCAUUUUCUUCAGUAGAGGGAGCUUGAGUCUACAGCAAAGAGAUGCUUGCUUCGUUUCGACACGUUCUCCCCAGCCCAUCAUCUUUAGCAUACUUCAUUGCCGUGGAUAUUCGCAGAUCCAGUUGAUGGGCAGCUCAUUUGUUGUGAUGGAAGAAACCUUGAAGAACUCCCUGCUACCCACUUAUUUUCAAGAUAUUAUCCCUCAUAUAAGGAGCUGAACCAGAGAACAAACACAUAACUGUGUCAAGAUAAAACCCUGGCUUCUUGAAUUUCUUGACUCACCCUGGAAAUGGAUUUUAUGUCCAUGUGUGCAGUUUCUCGUCUCUCUCUUCCUUAUUUCUAACAACCACUUUGUAUUAAAUGUUUCAUCACAGACA
This 403-nucleotide long non-coding RNA is filed under the name Anser brachyrhynchus (Pink-footed goose). RNAcentral's name for it is "lncRNA (ENSABRG00000015116.1)". The record is from RNAcentral. Lineage: Eukaryota; Metazoa; Chordata; Aves; Anseriformes; Anatidae.